CUCUGUGACUUCUACGGGAGGCAGCAGUGGGGAAUAUUGCACAAUGGGCGCAAGCCUGAUGCAGCAACGCCGUGUGAGUGAAGAAGGUUUUCGGAUCGUAAAACUCUGUCCUAAGGGAAGAAACAAAUGACGGUACCUUAGGAGGAAGCCCCGGCUAACUACGUGCCAGCAGCCGCGGUAAUACGUAGGGGGCAAGCGUUAUCCGGAAUCACUGGGCGUAAAGGGUGCGUAGGCGGCUUAGCAAGCCAGGGGUGAAAGGCAUUGGCUCAACCAAUGUAAGCCUUUGGAACUGUUAAGCUUGAGUGCAGGAGAGGUAAGUGGAAUUCCUAGUGUAGAGGUGAAAUUCGUAGAUAUUAGGAGGAACACCAGUGGCGAAGGCGACUUACUGGACUGUAACUGACGCUGAUGCACGAAAGCGUGGGUAGCGAACAGGAUUAGAUACCCUGGGAG
Molecule: ribosomal RNA, 450 nt
Filed under: uncultured bacterium
Lineage: Bacteria
Description: bacterial SSU rRNA
Rfam family: Bacterial small subunit ribosomal RNA
Source: RNAcentral